RNAcentral lists this transfer RNA (75 nucleotides) under Phaethon lepturus (White-tailed tropicbird). It matches the Rfam family "tRNA". From Rfam's summary of the family: Transfer RNA (tRNA) molecules are approximately 80 nucleotides in length. Their secondary structure includes four short double-helical elements and three loops (D, anti-codon, and T loops). Lineage: Eukaryota; Metazoa; Chordata; Aves; Phaethontiformes; Phaethontidae. The record is from Rfam by way of RNAcentral.
UGAAACUUAGGGUAACCCGCUUUAAACCAAAGGCCUUCAAAGCCUUAAACAAGAGUUAGACCCUCUUAGUUUCUG